CGCGUGUGUGAAGAAGGCCUUCGGGUUGUAAAGCACUUUCAGUCAGGAGGAAAGGUUAGUAGUUAAUACCUGCUAGCUGUGACGUUACUGACAGAAGAAGCACCGGCUAACUCCGUGCCAGCAGCCGCGGUAAUACGGAGGGUGCGAGCGUUAAUCGGAAUUACUGGGCGUAAAGCGUACGCAGGCGGUUUGUUAAGCGAGAUGUGAAAGCCCCGGGCUCAACCUGGGAACUGCAUUUCGAACUGGCAAACUAGAGUGUGAUAGAGGGUGGUAGAAUUUCAGGUGUAGCGGUGAAAUGCGUAGAGAUCUGAAGGAAUACCGAUGGCGAAGGCAGCCACCUGGGUCAACACUGACGCUCAUGUACGAAAGCGUGGGGAGCAAACAGGAUUAGAUACCCUGGUAGUCCACGCCGUAAACGAUGUCUACUAGAAGCUCGGAACCUCGGUUCUGUUUUUCAAAGCUAACGCAUUAAGUAGACCGCCUGGGGAGUACGGCCGCAAGGUUAAAACUCAAAUGAAUUGACGGGGGCCCGCACAAGCGGUGGAGCAUGUGGUUUAAUUCGAUGCAACGCGAAGAACCUUACCUACACUUGACAUACAGAGAACUUACCAGAGAUGGUUUGGUGCCUUCGGGAACUCUGAUACAGGUGCUGCAUGGCUGUCGUCAGCUCGUGUUGUGAGAUGUUGGGUUAAGUCCCGCAACGAGCGCAACCC
RNAcentral lists this ribosomal RNA (713 nucleotides) under Pseudoalteromonas sp. Wcll-1-4-3-1. RNAcentral's name for it is "bacterial SSU rRNA". It matches the Rfam family "Bacterial small subunit ribosomal RNA", at positions 398 to 1104 of the family's 1533-position model. The record is from RNAcentral. Lineage: Bacteria; Pseudomonadati; Pseudomonadota; Gammaproteobacteria; Alteromonadales; Pseudoalteromonadaceae.